RNAcentral lists this unclassified non-coding RNA (314 nucleotides) under plant metagenome. Its description in RNAcentral is "partial contains 5.8S ribosomal RNA, internal transcribed spacer 2, and large subunit ribosomal RNA". The stretch from base 1 to 104 matches the Rfam family "5.8S ribosomal RNA", at positions 50 to 154 of the family's 154-position model. The record is from RNAcentral.
GAACUGCGAUAAGUAAUGUGAAUUGCAGAAUUCAGUGAAUCAUCGAGUCUUUGAACGCACAUUGCGCCCCCUGGCAUUCCGGGGGCAUGCCUGUCCGAGCGUCAUUGCUGCCCUUCAAGCCCGGCUUGUGUGUUGGGUCGUCGUCCCCUCCGGGGGACGGGCCCGAAAGGCAGCGGCGGCACCGCGUCCGGUCCUCGAGCGUAUGGGGCUUUGUCACCCGCUCGAUAAGGACCGGCCGGGCGCCAGCCGGCGUCUCCAACCUUUUUUUCUCAGGUUGACCUCGGAUCAGGUAGGGAUACCCGCUGCACUUAAGC